UGUCACACAAACGUAUCGACCGUUUCAUGUGUGUCGUGCAACGUGUCAGUUGCGAUGAAUUAAAUUAGGUUAUCAAUUAUUCACCGUGGUUAAUUGUCAUCGACAAUUAACAAAAUUCGUGGAUGAAUUUCAUUCUUGUUUAUGUCAGUGUUUUGCAUACGUGGCAACAUUUACCACCAAUCAGAAAACACAAGUUUUGAUAGGCGUGGCUUCGAACACGUAUACUUGUCUGUACGUCCGGCCGCCAUAAUUCUUGAGAAGAAAUCGUUGUGCGUGAAUUCUCAUCGCGAUUCUCUGUAGACAAACACAGCACGUUGUUCAUUUUACAUUCCUUGGCAGAAACAACUUACUGGAAAUAUUCUUACUGGGCUACGUAGACAUUGUCAAAAUGGAUGUCCAGACAGGAUUGGUAUAUGUAGCAGUUGUAGUCAUUUCGGCAGCAGUUAUCGUUUUAGUAUCAAUGUUUGGCAUAAAAGAAAAGUCCUAUGAAGAAGCUAUAGCUGAACAAAGAAAACUACCUGAUGAUCUUUUAUUGGGUAAGAAAGAUAAAGGUAAAGAAAAGAAACAUAAGAAUAAGGCAGGAAAAAAAGUGAAAGAGAAGAAAGAAGAGAAAGAGGAGAAAGAUGAUAAGGAAGAGAAACCAGAACAUGUACAAUUUGAGGAAAAUCCUCAAAUAUUGCCCCUAGAGCCACUACUGCGGGAGGGUAGCAAAGGAAGUAAGAAGAAAGGCAAGUCUGAAAAGGUAAAGCCAAUUCUUGUAAAUAAAGAUGAGCCGUUGGUUAUUGUGACUGAAUUAAGUCCUUCACAACCCCCCUUGGCAGAGGCUAAUCAUUUUGACCUCAUUCAUCCAAAGGACGACCUCGAACUCAUACGGAGUCACAGUAAGGAAAAUUUGCAACAACUCAAUCAGUCUGAACCAGUUGUAAAUAAAUCACCCAAGGAAACUCCAACAAAAACAAAGAAAAAUGUAAAAGAUUCAUCGAAAAAGAAAGAUGAAAAUGUUAAGGAGGAGAAGAAAGAAGAGAAGAAAGAAGCAACUGUAAAUGCUAAUGCCCAACCACUUGUUAACAAAGAUGUUCCAAAGGAAACAAAAGAACACAAAGAAACACCUGUUAAGGAUACAAAGGAAGUAGUUAAAGAAUCUGCGCCACUCAUUCAAGCUCUAAUUAAAGAAUCUAAGAAGACAAAGAAGAAGAAUGAUAUUCUAGCUCAAAUUGGAGGAGACAAAGAUGCUGUUAACGUAUCUCUUUUGAUGCCUUUAGUUCAGAAAGCUGAACUUAGUCGUUCUGAAAUCCAAAUUCUGAUUGAUCAACUUCUGAAUAAACAGCUGGAUAAUCCAUCAGAACAUUCAGAGUGGACAGAAGGUCGUGCAGACCCUGUUAUUAAAUUGAAGAAGCAAUUGGCGGAAAAGGAGAAGGCUCUUGCUGACGAACAUGAAGCCAAUAUUGCUUUCCAAAAUAAACUAAAGGAAUUGCGAACUGAACUCAAUUCAGAGAGAUCUAGAUUAUCAGCUAAUGUGAGACAGUUAGAGGAAACACUAAAUGCCAAGGUUACGGAAGCUCAGACCUUACAUACACGUAUGCAACACAUCUUAGAAAGUCAUGCUGCUGAAAAGCAAGGGUUCACUAGACAGAUUGAACAGUUGCAAACUAAAGUGAACGAGAAUGCUACGAUCAUUCAUAAGAUGCAAGAGGAACAGGGACAGACUCAAGGUCAUUUGCAGCAGGAGCUGAUAACGCAGAGGAAGCAAAUGGAGGUUCAGUUUGGAAAGAUGCGUGAAAAUGAGAAUGCGUUGAAAGCACAGAUAGCUCAAAAGCACGUAGAAGUACAAAAGAUGCAAAGUGAAUUACAAGUGACAUGUGAUAGUAGCACAGCUGAGAUAGAAAUGUUACGGCAACAGUUAGGGCUUAUGCAGGGUCAGUUGAUGCAUUCAGAAGGACAAUUACAACAUUUCAAGGAAGCUGGCGAUAGAUUACAAGAUGUUGCUAGACAACUUGAGGAGGCUCAUUGCGCUCAAACGGAAUUGGAUCACAGACUAAAAAAUGCUCAUCGCCAUGAACAAGAGCUUCAAAAACAGGUGAAUUCGUUGCAAUCAGAAUUAAAUGCCGCAAAAACAGAGGCUAGCGAUGUUUCUACGUUGAAAGCAGAAUUAACUAAAGCUCAGACUGAACUGGGCAAACUAAAAUCUGAAUUGUCAGCCUCUAUGAAUGAAGCAAAAUCUGAAGCAGCUGAAAUUACAGCUCUUAAAAUAGCACUAGCGAAUAAGGAAGAGGAGGUCAAGAAAUCUCAAGACGAGCUGAACAAUUUACGGGUCGUGACAAGACAAACCACGGAACAUGUAGCACAGCUGGAAGCGCAAUUAGAUGCCGAGCAAAAGAAAUUGAACAUUGUGAAAGCUGAAUCUGAAAAGACAGCUGAAAGUCUGUCUCUUUGCCAGAUUGAAAUACAGAAAUUGAAGGAAGAGUUGAAACAAGCACAAGCUGAAUUAGAAAAUGCUCAGGUUGAGCUUACACCUGCAAAUGAAAUGGCAAAUGAAAUGAAAAUGUUGAAGGCUGAAUUGGAGAGGUUGCAGAGCAAUGAGAAUAAAUUUGCCGUAACAGAGUUACAAUUUGGAAACGUACUAUUGCAAGAAGAAAACAACAAACUUUCUACGCAGUUGGCGAAUCUUACUGAUUUGCGAAAACAACUGAAACAAUUGCAAGAAGAAAAUGAAUCAUUGUCGUCCAAAUUAGCAACGAUCAGUGAGCGACCAGCUACAGAAGACAAAGAAAAUGGAAUCGAUGAUAAUGUUCAGAAGAACAUACAGCUUGCAGAUCAUGUUAAUCUGUUGGCGCAAAAGGAAAGUCAACUGAAUGCCUUAAAGACAGAAUUAACGAACAAGGAAGCGGAACUGAAACAAUCGAAUGCUCAAAUCGACGUAUUGCAAAGUGACGUGAAUCAUCAACGUAAUCGUGUGACUCUUCUGAGUGAUAAUUUACAAGAUCAAAGAACUAAAAAUAAUGAGUUGCGUAAGAAAAACUGGAAAGUGAUGAAUGCUCUUUCUGCUGCUGAGUCGCGUGUUAAAUCUAGUGAUGUGCAAAACUUUGAUGAGGUUGCACAGAAAGUGAGACUUGAACAAGAAGAAUUAACAAAGGCUUUCUUGAUGAGGAUAUUCCCAGAAGUAAAAGUACCCGAAAAAUCACACGACCAAUGGCUCAGUGAUUUCGAAGAAAAAGCGAACACCUUCUUGGUUGAAUUAAAGAAGAAAAAUGUGGAUGAUAGUACUCGUUCAGAUACAGAGAAACAAAACAAAAACUUGCAGGAUAUGGUCUCACAUUACAAACAAAUUAUCAUGGCUACUGAGGGUAUGCUAAAUAAGCUCCAAUGUCACGUAGAAUCGGAGGAAACAAGGUGGGAAGCUCAACUUCGGCAAAAAGAGGUUGAGGUUGCAAAUCUUAGGAUCGAGUUACAAAAGAAGGUAGCAGAAAUGGAAACCAGGUUAAAGGAUGCUGAAUCUCAUAAAGAACAGGCCAAUCGUGAAUUGUUGGCUCUUAGAUCUACACCACAAACAAUUCCCAGUGGAGGAAAUACUCGUGAUUUAAUAGCGUUAGAAAAACUGCAGGAGGAGAAUGAACGUUUGACAGGAGAACUUCAAUCUGAAUAUCAUAAAAGGUCAACACUAGAUGCAGAAGUCACUAAAUUGCGUUCUUUGGUUGCACAGCUUCAAGAAGAAGUAACACAAUUGAAGACUGCAGGUAGUGGAGAUUGCAUCAGUUCUGAACAGUAAAGGUUGAAUGGACCACCGACAUCCGAGUGUUCUAAUUCCGAGGUGUUUUAUACAUCGCUUCGUGUUUGGAAAAGUAACAAUUCAAAAUACAACAGGUCUAUUUAUUUAUUCCACUGCUAGCAGCACAGACUCUGAUAGCUGCAUUAGAAAAUACUCUUCUCAAGAAUACAGAGUUCGCAAAUAGUUCAAUAGCCAAGUCUGUCAAUUUGGUUCAUUCUCAACGAGAAAAUUGAUAGCAGCUCCCUUUCUACAAAAUACUCCUCCAAAUCUUGUCACAUGACAGAUAACCACACUCAGGCUAGCUGGAUUCCAUUGAUGAGCCAGCAGCAUAAAAAGCACAAGAAAAAGAGGAAGGGUGGUCCAGGGAAAAGUAACUUUAAAGAGCAUGAAAGCAGGAGAUUCAGAAAGGAAAUACAAGCGUAAUUGCAUAUGCUCCCAUGUUAUAUAAAACGUGAGUGGGAAUCUUUGCUACUGAGAAGACUAAUAUAAUGAUAUGAAUAACGUUUCUUAUAAAAAGAAUAACAUAUUUUAUUAUAUGGAAAAAUAUAAAUAAUGAAAUCUUGUAGUUAAAGAAGUGAGAAAUGUUGAUUCUGACGUUUAUCAUGGUUACAGAAACUGAAUAAACUCGGAUAGGCAUACCUUAAUAAGAAUGAUAAAAGAAUGAUGCAUUGUAAAUUGCGGUGAAGCAAUUUUUAUCGUUUAAAUAUUACUUUUUGUUUUAUAAAAUAUGUUCAGAUGUUUAUAACUAUUCUUAGCGUCUUUAUAGUGUUUUAUUUAAGAAGCAUUAAUAUAUCGGAUCAUUAAGAAGAGAAAGAAUAUGUACAUUAAAAGAAACGCACGAUACUCAAUCAAAUGGAAGAACUUACACUUUUGUGUAGUUGUAUUUUCCGUAGCUAGCAAACACCAGAUUUUUAAGUGAUUUUCAUUCUACUAAAGCGUUUGCAUACAAAGCUAAAAUUGUUGAUGAAUUUAUGUGCAAUAAACAAGCACGAUCGUGUGUUCACCUAUAUUCAAAGAAAAAUUGUAGUGUAUUUGGUAGACGGCUUUUAAAAGGGAA
This is an RNA transcript of Megalopta genalis, 4823 nucleotides long. RefSeq lists it as uncharacterized. NCBI's taxonomy places the organism in Eukaryota, Metazoa, Arthropoda, Insecta, Hymenoptera, Halictidae. The record is from RefSeq and is a predicted model, not a curated record.